Molecule: ribosomal RNA, 253 nt
Filed under: uncultured bacterium
Lineage: Bacteria
Description: partial 16S ribosomal RNA
Rfam family: Bacterial small subunit ribosomal RNA
Source: RNAcentral
UACGGAGGGGGCUAGCGUUGUUCGGAAUUACUGGGCGUAAAGCGCGCGUAGGCGGACCUGCAAGUCGGGGGUGAAAGCCCGAGGCUCAACCUCGGAACUGCCUUCGAUACUGCGGGUCUCGAGUCCGGGAGAGGCGAGUGGAAUUCCUAGUGUAGAGGUGAAAUUCGUAGAUAUUAGGAAGAACACCAGUGGCGAAGGCGGCUCACUGGCCCGGUACUGACGCUGAGGCGCGAAAGCGUGGGGAGCAAACAGG